This is a non-coding RNA of Triticum aestivum (bread wheat), 180 nucleotides long. The record is from Rfam. NCBI's taxonomy places the organism in Eukaryota, Viridiplantae, Streptophyta, Magnoliopsida, Poales, Poaceae.
UUUAUACUCCCUCCGUCCGAAAAUACUUGUCAUCAAAAUGAAUAAAAGAGGAUGUAUCUAGAUGUAUUUUAGUUUUAGAUACAUCCUUUUUUGUUCAUUUUGAUGACAAGUAUUUUCGGCUAGAUACAUCCUUUUUUGUUCAUUUUGAUGACAAGUAUUUUCGGACGGAGGGAGUAUUGG